AAAUUGAAGAGUUUGAUCAUGGCUCAGAUUGAACGCUGGCGGCAGGCCUAACACAUGCAAGUCGAACGGUAACAGGAAAAAGCUUGCUUUUUUGCUGACGAGUGGCGGACGGGUGAGUAAUGUCUGGGAAACUGCCUGAUGGAGGGGGAUAACUACUGGAAACGGUAGCUAAUACCGCAUAACGUCGCAAGACCAAAGAGGGGGACCUUCGGGCCUCUUGCCAUCGGAUGUGCCCAGAUGGGAUUAGCUAGUAGGUGGGGUAACGGCUCACCUAGGCGACGAUCCCUAGCUGGUCUGAGAGGAUGACCAGCCACACUGGAACUGAGACACGGUCCAGACUCCUACGGGAGGCAGCAGUGGGGAAUAUUGCACAAUGGGCGCAAGCCUGAUGCAGCCAUGCCGCGUGUAUGAAGAAGGCCUUCGGGUUGUAAAGUACUUUCAGCGGGGAGGAAGGGAGUAAAGUUAAUACCUUUGCUCAUUGACGUUACCCGCAGAAGAAGCACCGGCUAACUCCGUGCCAGCAGCCGCGGUAAUACGGAGGGUGCAAGCGUUAAUCGGAAUUACUGGGCGUAAAGCGCACGCAGGCGGUUUGUUAAGUCAGAUGUGAAAUCCCCGGGCUCAACCUGGGAACUGCAUCUGAUACUGGCAAGCUUGAGUCUCGUAGAGGGGGGUGGAAUUCCAGGUGUAGCGGUGAAAUGCGUAGAGAUCUGGAGGAAUACCGGUGGCGAAGGCGGCCCCCUGGACGAAGACUGACGCUCAGGUGCGAAAGCGUGGGGAGCAAACAGGAUUAGAUACCCUGGUAGUCCACGCCGUAAACGAUGUCGACUUGGAGGUUGUGCCCUUGAGGCGUGGCUUCCGGAGCUAACGCGUUAAGUCGACCGCCUGGGGAGUACGGCCGCAAGGUUAAAACUCAAAUGAAUUGACGGGGGCCCGCACAAGCGGUGGAGCAUGUGGUUUAAUUCGAUGCAACGCGAAGAACCUUACCUGGUCUUGACAUCCACGGAAGUUUUCAGAGAUGAGAAUGUGCCUUCGGGAACCGUGAGACAGGUGCUGCAUGGCUGUCGUCAGCUCGUGUUGUGAAAUGUUGGGUUAAGUCCCGCAACGAGCGCAACCCUUAUCCUUUGUUGCCAGCGGUCCGGCCGGGAACUCAAAGGAGACUGCCAGUGAUAAACUGGAGGAAGGUGGGGAUGACGUCAAGUCAUCAUGGCCCUUACGACCAGGGCUACACACGUGCUACAAUGGCGCAUACAAAGAGAAGCGACCUCGCGAGAGCAAGCGGACCUCAUAAAGUGCGUCGUAGUCCGGAUUGGAGUCUGCAACUCGACUCCAUGAAGUCGGAAUCGCUAGUAAUCGUGGAUCAGAAUGCCACGGUGAAUACGUUCCCGGGCCUUGUACACACCGCCCGUCACACCAUGGGAGUGGGUUGCAAAAGAAGUAGGUAGCUUAACCUUCGGGAGGGCGCUUACCACUUUGUGAUUCAUGACUGGGGUGAAGUCGUAACAAGGUAACCGUAGGGGAACCUGCGGUUGGAUCACCUCCUUACCUUAAAGAA
Molecule: ribosomal RNA, 1552 nt
Filed under: Escherichia coli
Lineage: Bacteria; Pseudomonadati; Pseudomonadota; Gammaproteobacteria; Enterobacterales; Enterobacteriaceae
Description: bacterial SSU rRNA
Rfam family: Bacterial small subunit ribosomal RNA
Source: RNAcentral